This 339-nucleotide long non-coding RNA is filed under the name Cottoperca gobio. RNAcentral describes it as "lncRNA (ENSCGOG00000007078.1)". Lineage: Eukaryota; Metazoa; Chordata; Actinopteri; Perciformes; Bovichtidae. The record is from RNAcentral.
GGCAGGACGCCGGGAAUAAGGAAGCUCCUGGGGAUUCUGGGAUUUUUCUGCUUUUGGAUUACAGCUCAGGCUCAGAUGAAGAUCCCACCGGAGACGGUGCAGCAGUGGGCGUCUGUGUUCUCCGUCCAGCUUCGAGAGCUCAGCACUAAAUACUCCGGCUCACUGCUGCUGCAGAAGAAACUGAAGGAUGUGGAGUCCAUCAUCAAGAUCGUGCAGGUGAACGGAAACGACCUGGUGAAAGAUUAUUCGGAUGAAAUCGAGCGAAUGUUGGGAAGCAAGAUGAAGUCCGUGAAGGUAAGGACAAACAUUAAAUAUUAAAUAAACAUAUAUAUAUAUAUU